This 313-nucleotide long non-coding RNA is filed under the name Nicotiana benthamiana. Its description in RNAcentral is "long non-coding RNA (NBEN_LNC029341)". The record is from RNAcentral. Lineage: Eukaryota; Viridiplantae; Streptophyta; Magnoliopsida; Solanales; Solanaceae.
AUAGGUCUUGUCCUACUGUCCUUCCCAAGCCGAUUGUUCUGAACCCCAACUCCACAGAGUCUAUUCCUGGUACUAUCCCUCCAACUUUUGGCCAUGAGAAAAAAAUCUUAAGCAUCUCUACCCUCAUUGCCAUUAGUGCAGCUGCUGUUAUUGUUGUUGGUGUUAUUGCCAUUACUGUGCUCAAUCUUCGAUGAGAAAAAAAUCUUAAGCAUCUCUGCGCUCAUUGCCAUUAGUGCAGCUGCUGUUAUUGUUGUUGGUGUUAUUGCCAUUACUGUGCUCAAUCUUCGUGUACGGGCUGCUGCAUCUCGCUCUA